RNAcentral lists this ribosomal RNA (501 nucleotides) under uncultured bacterium. RNAcentral's name for it is "partial 16S ribosomal RNA". It matches the Rfam family "Bacterial small subunit ribosomal RNA", at positions 30 to 523 of the family's 1533-position model. The record is from RNAcentral.
AUUGAACGCUGGCGGCAUGCCUUACACAUGCAAGUCGAACGGCAGCACGGGUGCUUGCACCUGGUGGCGAGUGGCGAACGGGUGAGUAAUACAUCGGAACGUACCUUAUCGUGGGGGAUAACGCAGCGAAAGUUGCGCUAAUACCGCAUACGCCCUGAGGGGGAAAGCGGGGGACCGUAAGGCCUCGCGCGAUUAGAGCGGCCGAUGUCUGAUUAGCUUGUUGGUGAGGUAAAAGCUCAACAAGGCGAGGAUCAGUAGCUGGUCUGAGAGGACGAUCAGCCACACUGGGACUGAGACACGGCCCAGACUCCUACGGGAGGCAGCAGUGGGGAAUUUUGGACAAUGGGGGCAACGCUGAUCCAGCAAUGCCGCGUGAGUGAAGAAGGCCUUCGGGUUGUAAAGCUCUUUUGUCAGGGAAGAAACAGCAGCUCUAACACAGUCUGCGAAUGACGGUACCUGAAGAAUAAGCACCGGCUAACUACGUGCCAGCAGCAGCCGUAA